GACGAACGCUGGCGGCGUGCCUAACACAUGCAAGUCGAGCGGGGUUGAGGCGAGAGGUAACUCGAACUUCUACCUAGCGGCGGACGGGUGAGUAACGCGUGGGCAACCUGCCUCAAGGUUUGGGAUAACAGCCCGAAAGGGCUGCUAAUACCGGAUAUGCCUAUGGCCUCGCAUGGGGCUAUGAGCAAAGGGGAAACCCGCCUUGAGAUGGGCCCGCGUCCCAUCAGCUAGUUGGUGAGGUAACAGCUCACCAAGGCGACGACGGGUAGCCGGCCUGAGAGGGUGACCGGCCACACUGGGACUGAGACACGGCCCAGACUCCUACGGGGGGGCAGCAGUGGGGGAUCUUGCACAAUGGGCGAAAGCCUGAUGCAGCGACGCCGCGUGAGCGAAGAAGGCCUUCGGUUGUAAGCUCUGUCUGGAGGGACGAACAAAUAGACGGUACCUCCGGAGGAAGCACGGCUAACUACGUG
This 473-nucleotide ribosomal RNA is filed under the name uncultured bacterium. RNAcentral describes it as "bacterial SSU rRNA". It matches the Rfam family "Bacterial small subunit ribosomal RNA", at positions 28 to 507 of the family's 1533-position model. The record is from RNAcentral.